GGCGUCGCAAAUACAUAGAGAUCCAUACAAGUCCAGCUGUGAGCUGCAGCUGUCUUGAGAUGAAUAACUCCACCCCCGAGAUCACUAUCAGCACUCCCAUUAGUGAAAUCUAGCCUGGCCUCAUUAUCGAAGAAGCAAGCCCCCUUCCACGCCACCGAUCCGCCCUCCGGCUUCACCGAUCCAACAAACGCCGGCAGUAAAUCGACAGCGCUGUGGAAAUUGUUCAGCACCGGCCACGAGAUCUCCCGCGGCAGCGCCGGCAGCACGUCGUUGAAGCGGAACGGGACCUUGACGGCGC
This 298-nucleotide unclassified non-coding RNA is filed under the name Hevea brasiliensis (rubber tree). Lineage: Eukaryota; Viridiplantae; Streptophyta; Magnoliopsida; Malpighiales; Euphorbiaceae. The record is from RNAcentral.